CUUACAGAGAUGCUUUUUACAUGUGAUGCUUUCUUGGAAAAUAAAAUAUUCAAUUGACGUAAAUUUAAUCACUUUUUAAGUUGACUUCAAGGUAAUCAUUUUAAAGAAACAAUAAUAGUCCUUAUAAAGAAGGUGUGCGUUUAUAAGCCUAAAGCAGAUAUUUUAUCACAACUUAUCAGUAGAAAAUCCAGCUGAUUUCACAGAUGUAUUUCAUGCAUAAGGAAAACAAUAAUAGUCCUUAUAAAGAAGGGGGUACAUUUAUUAGCCUAUAGCAGAUAUCUUGUCACAACUUAUCAGUAGAAAAUCCAGCUGAUUUCACAGAUGUAUUUCAUGCAUAAGGACACAAAAAAUGAGAAGAAAAUCCUGACAGGAGGCCCAAAAAAUAAAGGGAGCAGAGAAAAGAUUAGA
RNAcentral lists this long non-coding RNA (408 nucleotides) under Nicotiana benthamiana. RNAcentral describes it as "long non-coding RNA (NBEN_LNC021478)". The record is from RNAcentral. Lineage: Eukaryota; Viridiplantae; Streptophyta; Magnoliopsida; Solanales; Solanaceae.